GAAAUGCGAUAAGUAGUGUGAAUUGCAGAAUUCAGUGAAUCAUCGAAUCUUUGAACGCACAUUGCGCCCUUUGGUAUUCCUUAGGGCAUGCCUGUUCGAGCGUCAUUUAAACCUUCAAGCUCAGCUUGGUGUUGGGUGACUGUCCGCUGCCCUCGGGUGCGGACUCGCCUCAAAAUCAUUGGCGGCCGGUACAUUGGCUUCGAGCGCAGCAGAAACGCGAACUCGAGGACGCUGUAUUGGCUCCCAGAAGCUAUCUUCACAAUUUUGACCUCGGAUCAGGUAGGGAUACCCGCUGAACUUAA
This 302-nucleotide unclassified non-coding RNA is filed under the name uncultured Ascomycota. RNAcentral's name for it is "sequence contains ITS1". The stretch from base 1 to 105 matches the Rfam family "5.8S ribosomal RNA", at positions 50 to 154 of the family's 154-position model. The record is from RNAcentral. Lineage: Eukaryota; Fungi; Ascomycota.